GUCGGCGUCGUCACCAUCCAGCCUUCCGCCGUGCCCGUCACCGUCGAGUUGCCGGGCCGCGUGAGCGCGCAUCUCGUCGCCGAAGUGCGUGCGCGCGUCGACGGCAUCGUGCAGAAGCGCCUCUAUACGGAAGGCAGCGAAGUGAAGGCGGGGCAGAUGCUCUACAAGAUCGA
This 173-nucleotide non-coding RNA is filed under the name Paraburkholderia sabiae. Its description in RNAcentral is "Bcj14". It matches the Rfam family "Burkholderia RNA 14". From Rfam's summary of the family: Co-purified with Hfq, expression confirmed by Northern blot. Putative functional homologue of PA-SraF. Overlaps coding sequence. Lineage: Bacteria; Pseudomonadati; Pseudomonadota; Betaproteobacteria; Burkholderiales; Burkholderiaceae. The record is from RNAcentral.